RNAcentral lists this unclassified non-coding RNA (300 nucleotides) under Hevea brasiliensis (rubber tree). Lineage: Eukaryota; Viridiplantae; Streptophyta; Magnoliopsida; Malpighiales; Euphorbiaceae. The record is from RNAcentral.
GGAGCUUGUUUCCUGCAAGAGCCUUUGUCAGGGAUUUUCCGGUGAUUUACAAUAAGACUCUAUCUGAUUGCAGUUCAGAUGAGUUGUUAUCACAAUUUCCUGAUCCCCAAAACACCAUCAUCAUUUGUGACUAUAAUAAACUUGAAGACGGUUUUGGUUUUGAUAGUCAAAUUUUUCAUGUCACUCAAGCAAGAUUCAUAGCAGGUAUAUUUAUCUCUGAAGAUCCAGCAGUGUUCAGGGUUGCUUCUUUUACCCACCCGGGAGUUGUGAUUGACGAAAAGGAAGGGAAACAAGUCAUCA